CGCUAAACUUCGGCAUCCAUACCAUGCCAUUCCUACCGAGAGUGAUGGCACUCACUCUCCAAUGUCAACUAGGUGAAUAACGCGUGAAUAACCUGGCUUUGAGAAUGGGAUAACUGUCCCAGAGGAUACCUAAUACCCUAUAUUGUCUUUUGUCACUAAGGCAAAACGCGAAAUCCACGCUGUCAAAAGCUUCGAGCACACACCAGGGGUUCGCGUCCUAUCAAGUAUUUGGCGGGCUAAUGGCCUAACGAGCCCAUGCACUGGUACCUGGCCUUAGAGGCAGAUCAUCCACAGUGUGACUGAAACACGGCCCGCACCCCUACCGGGGGCAUCACUGCGGAAUCUUGCGCUAUGGUCGCAAGCCUGACCCCCCAAUGCCGCGUGAUGGAAGAAGCCCUUCUGGGUGUAAACCUCUGUCAAAUGGUAAGAUGAGACUAUUGGCUAAUACCUCCUACCUCUUGACUGUACCAUCAGAGAAAGGGACGGCUAACUACCUGCCACCUGCCACAGUAAU
RNAcentral lists this ribosomal RNA (514 nucleotides) under uncultured bacterium. RNAcentral describes it as "bacterial SSU rRNA". It matches the Rfam family "Bacterial small subunit ribosomal RNA", at positions 39 to 524 of the family's 1533-position model. The record is from RNAcentral.